CAAUAGCGUAUAUUAACGUUGUUGCAGUUAAAAAGCUCGUAGUUGGAUUUCUGGAGGGAGCGUCGGCCCGUAUUUACGAGUGCGUGACGUCUCUGUCCAUCCUUGCGGGAAGGCACGGCAUUGAUUUGUUGUGUCGGAUCGCAUCAUCUACUGUGAAAAAAUUAGAGUGUUCAAAGCAGGCUUUCGCUUGAAUACAUUAGCAUGGAAUAAUAAGAUAGGACUUUGGUGCUAUUUUGUUGGUUGAGCCUAAAGUAAUGAUUAAUAGGGAUAGUUGGGGGCACCUGUAUUGCGUUGUCAGAGGUGAAAUUCUUGGAUUUACGCAAGACAAACAGCUGCGAAAGCGUCUGCCAAGGAUGUUUUCAUUA
Molecule: ribosomal RNA, 365 nt
Filed under: uncultured eukaryote
Lineage: Eukaryota
Description: partial 18S ribosomal RNA
Rfam family: Eukaryotic small subunit ribosomal RNA
Source: RNAcentral